AGUAAUACAUAGGAAUCUGCCCAGUAGCGGGGGACAACUCGGAGAAAUCCGAGCUAAUACCGCAUACGCCCUACGGGGGAAAGCAGGGGAUCUUCGGACCUUGCACUAUUGGAUGAGCCUAUGUCAGAUUAGCUUGUUGGUGGGGUAACGGCCUACCAAGGCGACGAUCUGUAGCUGGUCUGAGAGGACGAUCAGCCACACUGGGACUGAGACACGGCCCAG
Molecule: ribosomal RNA, 222 nt
Filed under: uncultured bacterium
Lineage: Bacteria
Description: partial 16S ribosomal RNA
Rfam family: Bacterial small subunit ribosomal RNA
Source: RNAcentral